UUAAGUUAUUAAGGGCGCACGGUGGAUGCCUUGGCACUAGAAGCCGAUGAAGGACGUUACUAACGACGAUAUGCUUUGGGGAGCUGUAAGUAAGCUUUGAUCCAGAGAUUUCCGAAUGGGGAAACCCAGCAUGAGUUAUGUCAUGUUAUCGAUAUGUGAAUACAUAGCAUAUCAGAAGGCACACCCGGAGAACUGAAACAUCUUAGUAACCGGAGGAAGAGAAAGAAAAUUCGAUUCCCUUAGUAGCGGCGAGCGAAACGGGAAGAGCCCAAACCAACAAGCUUGCUUGUUGGGGUUGUAGGACACUCUAUACGGAGUUACAAAGGACGACAUUAGACGAAUCAUCUGGAAAGAUGAAUCAAAGAAGGUAAUAAUCCUGUAGUCGAAAAUGUUGUCUCUCUUGAGUGGAUCCUGAGUACGACGGAGCACGUGAAAUUCCGUCGGAAUUUGGGAGGACCAUCUCCUAAGGCUAAAUACUCUCUAGUGACCGAUAGCGAACCAGUACCGUGAGGGAAAGGUGAAAAGCACCCCGGAAGGGGAGUGAAAUAGAACCUGAAACCGUGUGCUUACAAGUAGUCAGAGCCCGUUAAUGGGUGAUGGCGUGCCUUUUGUAGAAUGAACCGGCGAGUUACGAUUUGAUGCAAGGUUAAGCAGUAAAUGUGGAGCCGUAGCGAAAGCGAGUCUGAAUAGGGCGUUUAGUAUUUGGUCGUAGACCCGAAACCAGGUGAUCUACCCUUGGUCAGGUUGAAGUUCAGGUAACACUGAAUGGAGGACCGAACCGACUUACGUUGAAAAGUGAGCGGAUGAACUGAGGGUAGCGGAGAAAUUCCAAUCGAACCUGGAGAUAGCUGGUUCUCUCCGAAAUAGCUUUAGGGCUAGCCUCAAGUGAUGAUUAUUGGAGGUAGAGCACUGUUUGGACGAGGGGCCCCUCUCGGGUUACCGAAUUCAGACAAACUCCGAAUGCCAAUUAAUUUAACUUGGGAGUCAGAACAUGGGUGAUAAGGUCCGUGUUCGAAAGGGAAACAGCCCAGACCACCAGCUAAGGUCCCAAAAUAUAUGUUAAGUGGAAAAGGAUGUGGCGUUGCCCAGACAACUAGGAUGUUGGCUUAGAAGCAGCCAUCAUUUAAAGAGUGCGUAAUAGCUCACUAGUCGAGUGACACUGCGCCGAAAAUGUACCGGGGCUAAACAUAUUACCGAAGCUGUGGAUUGUCCUUUGGACAAUGGUAGGAGAGCGUUCUAAGGGCGUUGAAGCAUGAUCGUAAGGACAUGUGGAGCGCUUAGAAGUGAGAAUGCCGGUGUGAGUAGCGAAAGACGGGUGAGAAUCCCGUCCACCGAUUGACUAAGGUUUCCAGAGGAAGGCUCGUCCGCUCUGGGUUAGUCGGGUCCUAAGCUGAGGCCGACAGGCGUAGGCGAUGGAUAACAGGUUGAUAUUCCUGUACCACCUAUAAUCGUUUUAAUCGAUGGGGGGACGCAGUAGGAUAGGCGAAGCGUGCGAUUGGAUUGCACGUCUAAGCAGUAAGGCUGAGUAUUAGGCAAAUCCGGUACUCAUUAAGGCUGAGCUGUGAUGGGGAGAAGACAUUGUGUCUUCGAGUCGUUGAUUUCACACUGCCGAGAAAAGCCUCUAGAUAGAAAAUAGGUGCCCGUACCGCAAACCGACACAGGUAGUCAAGAUGAGAAUUCUAAGGUGAGCGAGCGAACUCUCGUUAAGGAACUCGGCAAAAUGACCCCGUAACUUCGGGAAAAGGGGUGCUCUUUAGGGUUAACGCCCAGAAGAGCCGCAGUGAAUAGGCCCAAGCGACUGUUUAUCAAAAACACAGGUCUCUGCUAAACCGUAAGGUGAUGUAUAGGGGCUGACGCCUGCCCGGUGCUGGAAGGUUAAGAGGAGUGGUUAGCUUCUGCGAAGCUACGAAUCGAAGCCCCAGUAAACGGCGGCCGUAACUAUAACGGUCCUAAGGUAGCGAAAUUCCUUGUCGGGUAAGUUCCGACCCGCACGAAAGGCGUAACGAUUUGGGCACUGUCUCAACGAGAGACUCGGUGAAAUCAUAGUACCUGUGAAGAUGCAGGUUACCCGCGACAGGACGGAAAGACCCCGUGGAGCUUUACUGUAGCCUGAUAUUGAAAUUCGGCACAGCUUGUACAGGAUAGGUAGGAGCCUUUGAAACGUGAGCGCUAGCUUACGUGGAGGCGCUGGUGGGAUACUACCCUAGCUGUGUUGGCUUUCUAACCCGCACCACUUAUCGUGGUGGGAGACAGUGUCAGGCGGGCAGUUUGACUGGGGCGGUCGCCUCCUAAAAGGUAACGGAGGCGCUCAAAGGUUCCCUCAGAAUGGUUGGAAAUCAUUCAUAGAGUGUAAAGGCAUAAGGGAGCUUGACUGCGAGACCUACAAGUCGAGCAGGGUCGAAAGACGGACUUAGUGAUCCGGUGGUUCCGCAUGGAAGGGCCAUCGCUCAACGGAUAAAAGCUACCCCGGGGAUAACAGGCUUAUCUCCCCCAAGAGUUCACAUCGACGGGGAGGUUUGGCACCUCGAUGUCGGCUCAUCGCAUCCUGGGGCUGUAGUCGGUCCCAAGGGUUGGGCUGUUCGCCCAUUAAAGCGGUACGCGAGCUGGGUUCAGAACGUCGUGAGACAGUUCGGUCCCUAUCCGUCGUGGGCGUAGGAAAUUUGAGAGGAGCUGUCCUUAGUACGAGAGGACCGGGAUGGACAUACCUCUGGUGUACCAGUUGUCGUGCCAACGGCAUAGCUGGGUAGCUAUGUGUGGACGGGAUAAGUGCUGAAAGCAUCUAAGCAUGAAGCCCCCCUCAAGAUGAGAUUUCCCAACUUCGGUUAUAAGAUCCCUCAAAGAUGAUGAGGUUAAUAGGUUCGAGGUGGAAGCAUGGUGACAUGUGGAGCUGACGAAUACUAAUCGAUCGAAGACUUAAUCAA
RNAcentral lists this ribosomal RNA (2921 nucleotides) under Staphylococcus aureus. RNAcentral's name for it is "bacterial LSU rRNA". It matches the Rfam family "Bacterial large subunit ribosomal RNA". The record is from RNAcentral. Lineage: Bacteria; Bacillati; Bacillota; Bacilli; Caryophanales; Staphylococcaceae.